RNAcentral lists this unclassified non-coding RNA (250 nucleotides) under plant metagenome. RNAcentral's name for it is "partial contains small subunit ribosomal RNA, internal transcribed spacer 1, and 5.8S ribosomal RNA". The record is from RNAcentral.
GUAGGUGAACCUGCGGAAGGAUCACUAAAGAGAACCUGCCCUUUGGGUAGAUCUCCCACCCUUUGUUUAUUAUACUUUGUUGCUUUGGCGGGCCUGCCUCGCGGCUGCCGGCGUGAGCUGGCUCGCGCCCGCCAGAGACCCCUAAACUCUGAAUAUUGUCGUCUGAGUAACAUAUAAUAAGUUAAAACUUUCAACAACGGAUCUCUUGGUUCUGGCAUCGAUGAAGAACGCAGCAUCUGACUGACUCGGG